CGAUAAGCUGCGGGGAGCUAGCAAACAAGCUUUGAUCCGCAGAUUUCCGAAUGGGGAAACCCGGCCUUUUAGGUCAUUGCAACCUGAAUACAUAGGGUUGCAAAGCGAACGCGGCGAACUGAAACAUCUAAGUAGCUGCAGGAAAAUAAAUCAACCGAGAUUCCCAAAGUAGUGGCGAGCGAAAUGGGAAGAGCCUGUACGUGAUAGUCGAUUGAAUAGUGGAACGCUCUGGAAAUGGCGGCCAUAGCGGGUGAUAGCCCCGUACACGAAAUUCAAACGGUGGUACUAAGCGUACGACAAGUAGGGCGGGACACGAGAAAUCCUGUCUGAAUAUGGGGGGACCAUCCUCCAAGGCUAAAUACUCGUAAUCGACCGAUAGUGAACCAGUACCGUGAGGGAAAGGCGAAAAGAACCCCGGGAGGGGAGUGAAAUAGAUCCUGAAACCGUGUGCAUACAAACAGUAGGAGCGGACUUGUUCCGUGACUGCGUACCUUUUGUAUAAUGGGUCAGCGACUUACAUUCAGUGGCAAGGUUAACCAUAUAGGGAAGCCGUAGAGAAAUCGAGUCCGAACAGGGCGAUAGUCGCUGGGUGUAGACCCGAAACCAAGUGAUCUACUCAUGGCCAGGAUGAAGGUGCGGUAACACGCACUGGAGGUCCGAACCCACUAAUGUUGAAAAAUUAGGGGAUGAGCUGUGGGUAGGGGUGAAAGGCUAAACAAACUUGGAAAUAGCUGGUUCUCUCCGAAAACUAUUUAGGUAGUGCCUCAAGUAUCACCAUCGGGGGUAGAGCACUGUUAUGGCUAGGGGGUCAUCGCGACUUACCAAACCAUUGCAAACUCCGAAUACCGAUGAGUGCGAGCUUGGGAGACAGACGUCGGGUGCUAACGUCCGGCGUCAAGAGGGAAACAACCCAGACCGCCAGCUAAGGUCCCAAAGAUUGGCUAAGUGGAAAACGAAGUGGGAAGGCUAAAACAGUCAGGAUGUUGGCUUAGAAGCAGCCAUCAUUUAAAGAAAGCGUAAUAGCUCACUGAUCGAGUCGUCCUGCGCGGAAGAUGUAACGGGGCUAAGCCAGUCACCGAAGCUGCGGAUAUCC
Molecule: ribosomal RNA, 1093 nt
Filed under: Zoogloea ramigera
Lineage: Bacteria; Pseudomonadati; Pseudomonadota; Betaproteobacteria; Rhodocyclales; Zoogloeaceae
Description: partial 23S ribosomal RNA
Rfam family: Bacterial large subunit ribosomal RNA
Source: RNAcentral